GGGAAGUGAAACAUCUCAGUACCCUUAGGAAAAGAAAUCAAUUGAGAUUCCGUUAGUAGCGGCGAGCGAAUGCGGAAGAGCCCAUUAAGUUCGUUAUGUUUUAGUGGAAUGCUUUGGGAAGAGCAACCAUAGUAGGUGAUAGUCCUGUACACGAAAGGGCAUAACGAAUGAAUUGAGUAAGGCGAGGCACGUGAAACCUUGUCUGAAUAUGGGGGGACCAUCCUCCAAGGCUAAAUACUCCUGACUGACCGAUAGUGAACCAGUACCGUGAGGGAAAGGCGAAAAGAACCCCUGUGAGGGGAGUGAAAUAGAUCCUGAA
This 319-nucleotide ribosomal RNA is filed under the name Grammatophora oceanica. RNAcentral describes it as "partial Bacterial large subunit ribosomal RNA". It matches the Rfam family "Bacterial large subunit ribosomal RNA", at positions 188 to 554 of the family's 2925-position model. Lineage: Eukaryota; Bacillariophyta; Fragilariophyceae; Rhabdonematales; Grammatophoraceae. The record is from RNAcentral.